Molecule: long non-coding RNA, 3202 nt
Organism: Phoenix dactylifera (date palm)
Lineage: Eukaryota; Viridiplantae; Streptophyta; Magnoliopsida; Arecales; Arecaceae
Source: RefSeq, a predicted model, not a curated record
AUAUAUAUAUAUAUAUAUUGGAAAUUUUUGGAGUUGGCGAUGCAAAGCUGGACCCUAGGAAUGAAGACUUGUAACUGGUCGAAGUCUUACAAAAAAUUAAUAUAUCGUGAGCCCCAAGAGUGCAAGAGAGCGGAUUUCAAUGUAUAAUAAUGAUCCUUAAUGAUUUUUCCCUUGUUCUCUCUCUUUUCCCGCGGAAACAGGUGCAUAACACAUACGCAAUACUAGUUAAUUUUCAUUAGAAGCUUUCUUAACAGGUUAAUCCUUUACAAGCUAAAGCCAGGGCUCUUUCAGCCACACUAUGAAGAUGCUAUGACGAAACAUUAAUCCACUGAUGCAGUUAUUUUAAUUGAAGUUUAUUUCUCUAUCGUGUUUAGUUCUGUUUCAUGUGUUAGUCAAAAUAUCUAAGUCAUUAAGCAUAGUGUUUAAUUCUGUUUGGAGUCUUUUAAGUAUCAGUUGAAAAUAUCUAGUAUGGUGCUAAUGAGUUUUUCUUGAAGAAAUAGUUAGUCAAAAAUAUCUGAUGUGGUAUUACCGAGUCUUCUUUGGAAAUAAGAGUCAAUCAAAGUCUUUAAUCUUUCAAAUUUGAGUCAUUUAACGAGUCUUCUGUCAAAAGUUAAGUUAAGUUCCGGUCUAUAAAUAUGAGUCUUUUGUGUGCAAUUGGCAGAAUACCAGUAAUACAAUCAGUUCCUUUUUCCUGAAGAAUUUUCGCUUCUAUUUGGAUUAGUCUUUAUUUCCAGGACUGUCCAAGGUGGUGGACUCCUUCCACAUCUAAUUUUCUCAUCCUUACUCUAUUCCUCCCUUAAUUCUUUGUUAUCAGUUCCUUUAUGUGAAUUAUUCUUCCUGGAUUGUAUCAUCUUUGGUACCAGCGCAGGACUAGUUGAAUUAUUCACCCAUCAAUCUUCUAAUCUUGUCAACUUGAAGUGGAAGAGAUUAUCAAGGAAAGCUUACAGAUCGUCAGGAGAUGAUUUGCUGUUAAAAAUAGUUCAGCCACUUGAUGAUGUUAACAAUCAACUUGCUAAUCUGGAAGCUUGGAGAACUAGAAGUAAAGGUAACGAACUCAUAGUUUCUAACAAUAAGAAGGGGCCUCCACUGUUCCACAAGAACCUGAGGCAGAUAUUCCAGAGGAAGAAAGUAGUAUUGCAGGCGAGGCCAGAAAACAUGCUCCAUGUUCAGCCUUGGAAAUAGUACGAGAGCAAUUAUAACCAGCUAAUGCAAGAGCCACCAUGCAGAAUGCUUACGGGCAGAUGAUUAAUGGGGCUGAUGAUCUGCAUACUGAAUAUAGACAUCACUAAGCGAAUAAAGAUAGAUAUUCCAGAUUUCAGUGGAAAGCUUGAUCCACAUGCUUUUUCUGAUUAGUUGAUAGCAUGCUGCGUAUCUUGAUGGCUCCAAAAGGAAGUGAAGAGGAAUGCUGGCUGCGUACUAAUAUUUUUCAUACCAAUGCGCAGUGUGGCAAUCAGAUUGUGAGGCUAGUUAUUGAUGGAGGUAGUCAAAAUGAAUGUUGUUUCCCAAGAGCUUGUUGAUAAGCUUAAAUUGGAGAUGGACCAUUUGAAUUCAUAGAUCAAAAUUGCAUGGAUCAAUAAUAUUUUAAUUCCUACUCACUAAGGAAUGUUCAGUAACUUUCUCAACAGGUGACUGUUAUGUUGACUCCAUGCGGUGACUCUUAUGAAGCAUAUUUUGUUUGAAUUUCAGAUCUAGCUCCAGAGGAGCUACCUAAAGGGCUGGUUCUAUUACGAGCUAACAGCAUGCAAAUGAUUUUGUACCAAGAGCUAGUUUGCCAAAUCUGUCAGCCUGCAGAAUGAACCCUGCUGAAGAUGAAGAGAUGAGAAAACAAGUAAAUGAUUUGCUCUCCAAGGGGUAUAUUCACAGUCCCUGUGCUGUACCAGCGUUAUAGACUCCUACGAAACAUGAGAGCUGGACGAUGUGCGCAGACACCUGAGCUCUCUAAGGUUGUUUCACAUAACGGCAGGAGCUAAGCCGCAGCAGGGAAGAGCAUUUGAGCCAUCCUAGACAAGUUAAGACGGCACUGAGGGUUGAAAAGUUCUAUAUUAAUCUUAAGAAGUACACAUUCUUAUCAGAUCAUGUAGCAUUGAAGCAGAUCCAGAAAAAAAACAGAUCUAUUCUUGACUGGCCUACUUCCAAACAGAAUUAAAGAAGUUCGAAGCUUCCAAGGGCUGGCCUCAUUUUACAAACGUUUCACCAGAAAUUUAUGCUCUAUAAUGGCGCCUAUUACAGAUUGCUUAUGACAGGGGACUUUUCUUUCUACAAAGGCAGUUGAUGAGGCUUUUCAGGAAAUUAAGAUCAGAAAUUUUGAAUUGGCAAGCAAUGCAUCUCAUACAGGCAUUGGGUUGGUUAUUAGCCAAGAGGGGCAUCCUAUUGCCUGUUUCAGCCAGAAACUCAACGAAGCAAAGAAGAGGUAUUGCACUUAUGACUUUAAGUUUUAUGCAGUGGUCCAAGCCAUGAAAUACUGGAAAUAUUGUCUGUCCCACAAAGAGUUUGUGCUUUACUCAGUUAAUGAAGCAUUAAGGUUCUCAAAAGGCUUGGACCAAAUGCCUAUUUACUUGAGCUACCUGAGGAUCAGCCCAAUAUUUAAUGUAGAAGAUCUCAGUUUCUGUCAUGAAAAUCAAGAUAAUACAAAUGAAACGGAGCCUGCCAUUAGACUAUCUUAUGUUCCAAAGAAUGUAGACAAAAAUGAGGAUAUUCUUGACGAGCAAAUUGUUUCUACGGGAAGGGGCAGUUAUAAAAUGUUUCUAGUCAAAUGGAAGGGAAAAUCAAUUUCAGAAAGCACUUGGAUUACCGUGUCAGAUUUAAUUGAUUCGGUUAUUUUAAUUGAAGGUUAUCUCUAUAGUGUUUAGUUCUGUUUUAUGUGUUAGUCAAAAUAUCUAAAUCAUCAAGUAUAGUGUUUGAUUCUAUUUUGAGUCUUUCAAAUGUCAGUUAAAAAUAUCUAGUCUGGUGUUAAGGAGUUUUCCUUGAAGAAAUAGCGAGUCAAAAUUUUCUGGUGUGGUAUUAAUAAGUCUUCUUUGGAAAUAAGAGUCAGUCAACAAAUCUAGUCUUUGAACAUUGGGUCAUUUAAUGAGUCUUCAAUCAAAAAUUUAGUUUUCCAGGAUUAGUAUUUACUAAGUUUACAAGUUCUGGUCUAUAAAUAUAAGUCUUUUGUAUGUAAUUGGCAGAAUACCAGUAAUACAAUCAUUUCCUUUUUUCUGAAGAA